This 301-nucleotide ribosomal RNA is filed under the name uncultured Prevotella sp. RNAcentral describes it as "bacterial SSU rRNA". It matches the Rfam family "Bacterial small subunit ribosomal RNA", at positions 275 to 573 of the family's 1533-position model. The record is from RNAcentral. Lineage: Bacteria; Pseudomonadati; Bacteroidota; Bacteroidia; Bacteroidales; Prevotellaceae.
GACGAUCAGUAGGGGUUCUGAGAGGAAGGUCCCCCACAUUGGAACUGAGACACGGUCCAAACUCCUACGGGAGGCAGCAGUGAGGAAUAUUGGUCAAUGGGCGGAAGCCUGAACCAGCCAAGUAGCGUGCAGGAUGACGGCCCUAUGGGUUGUAAACUGCUUUUGAAGGGGAGUAAAGUGAGUGACUUGUCAUUCAUUGCAAGUACCCUUGGAAUAAGGACCGGCUAAUUCCGUGCCAGCAGCCGCGGUAAUACGGAAGGUCCGGGCGUUAUCCGGAUUUAUUGGGUUUAAAGGGAGCGUA